UGGCGAACGGGUGAGUAAUAUAUCGGAACGUGCCCAGUAGUGGGGGAUAACUGCUCGAAAGAGCAGCUAAUACCGCAUACGACCUGAGGGUGAAAGGGGGGGAUCGCAAGACCUCUCGCUAUUGGAGCGGCCGAUAUCAGAUUAGCUAGUUGGUGGGGUAAAGGCCUACCAAGGCAACGAUCUGUAGUUGGUCUGAGAGGACGACCAGCCACACUGGGACUGAGACACGGCCCAGACUCCUACGGGAGGCAGCAGUGGGGAAUUUUGGACAAUGGGCGCAAGCCUGAUCCAGCAAUGCCGCGUGCAGGAAGAAGGCCUUCGGGUUGUAAACUGCUUUUGUCAGGGAAGAAAUCUUCUGGGCUAAUACCCCGGGAGGAUGACGGUACCUGAAGAAUAAGCACCGGCUAACU
RNAcentral lists this ribosomal RNA (410 nucleotides) under uncultured bacterium. RNAcentral describes it as "bacterial SSU rRNA". It matches the Rfam family "Bacterial small subunit ribosomal RNA", at positions 96 to 502 of the family's 1533-position model. The record is from RNAcentral.